GGCCUGUGUGUGUUUCUGGAGUUGGAGAACGAGUGGAGAGCCCUGAAGGCGGGGCUGGCAUAACUGCAGGUGCAUCGCUCUCCGCUGCCACCACACGGGGCUGCACAGCCUGCAGACGCUCUGCCGCGAGCCCUCUUCAGCAGACCAGCUGUUGGAGGGCUGCGAGGACUUGCACCCCUGACUUUGUCAGAGCCAGAGGCGCACAUCCGCUGCUCUCGGCCAUGUCUCCAGGAUCCGUGUCAGCCGGGGGGUCCCGAGGCCGGGAAUCAGCCUGCUGGGCAUUGUUGGGUUCUGCAGACAGAAUCCCAGCUGAUGAAGCUGUGGUCCUCGGAUGUGGGAGCUAAAUACAACCUGAAGUCUGCACUGACCCCUGUGUGAAUGCAUCCUGCGUGCAGACAUGACCAGGAAGAAGAGGCAGUGAGACAACUGCUGGGCGCCCUGGACAUCUGGGAGCACAUGAAACAGGAGCAAGCCGCACCCAGCUCGAGAUGGCCACGCAGGCAGCAGGUUCAAAGCAGAGCAGUUCUGGAAAUGCGCAGGUUUGCAGACGCUGCAAACACAGGACGGCCGAGGCAUCAGCACCUGCCGCUGUGUUUGCUCUUGGCCCAGUCUCAGGAGGAAAUGCUGACUGCAAGACAUCGUGCAAGCCUCCUGCGGGGCUGGGGCUCACAGAGGAACCUCUUGGGAGAAUCGCCUGGGGAGGGACACUGGGGGCUCCUGCGUGGGGAUGCGGAGGCUCCAAGUGUCCCCUCUGGGCAGGGGUGGCCGUCAGCCUGGGCUCCGGAGUGCCACCAGAGACAGCGCCUGCUGGUGCUUCGCAGAGCGCCGAGCACGGGCUAGACUUUGCAGCUGAAUCAGUCCCUAGCCCCACUGAGCCCAGCCCACGUCUGUUUGGAGGAGGACAUGUGAGAACACGGCCUACACCCCAACAGGGGGUCUGCCCGACUGCACCCACAGCUGUGCACGCUCAUGGCUGCUGUUAAAAUGCGCACACACCCAGUGAGGAGAUGAGCAGUUGAUCCUGUGCUUCGAGAGGUGGAGCAAGGUCAGCUGUGGAGAUGACAGGCCUUGGCCAUGAGUUUGCUUGCAGGCAGCCCAGAUGGUCACAUCAUCAAGUUGUGCUUACCUUACGCUCGGUGUUGGUGCAGACCACUCUGGAAACAGGCUGUUCCCAAAUCCAGGUCUGGCCGUGAUGGGAGGUAGUGCUGGACAGAGCAGUUCUCGCGGAGAGUUGAGGCAAGGUGUAUGCCCACUGAGGGGUGUGCCGAGGUACAGUCAAGUGAACACUUGAGGAAAAAUUAACACGUGCCUUCUGCAUUCUGUCAUUUUAAAAGAAUUAAAGCAGCAAAAACAUUGCAAAAGUCCAUCAUUCUCAUAAACAUGAAAAAAAUUUUUAAUAAAGAUUUAUUUGAGAGGAAGAUUUAGAGAGAG
Molecule: long non-coding RNA, 1431 nt
Filed under: Oryctolagus cuniculus (rabbit)
Lineage: Eukaryota; Metazoa; Chordata; Mammalia; Lagomorpha; Leporidae
Description: lncRNA (ENSOCUG00000034606.1)
Source: RNAcentral